GACGAACGCUGGCGGCGUGCUUAACACAUGCAAGUCGAACGGAAAGGCCCUGCUUUUGUUGGGUGCUCGAGUGGCGAACGGGUGAGUAACACGUGAGUAACCUGCCCUUGACUUUGGGAUAACUUCAGGAAACUGGGGCUAAUACCGGAUAGGAGCUCCUGCUGCAUGGGGGGGGUUGGAAAGUUUCGGCGGUUGGGGAUGGACUCGCGGCUUAUCAGCUUGUUGGUGGGGUAGUGGCUUACCAAGGCUUUGACGGGUAGCCGGCCUGGGAGGGUGACCGGCCACAUUGGGACUGAGAUACGGCCCAGACUCCUACGGGCGGCAGCAGUGGGGAAUAUUGCACAAUGGGCGGAAGCCUGAUGCAGCAACGCCGCGUGCGGGAUGACGGCCUUCGGGUUGUAAACCGCUUUCGCCUGUGACGAAGCGUGAGUGACGGUACUGGGUAAAGAAGCACCGGCUAACUACGU
Molecule: ribosomal RNA, 467 nt
Filed under: uncultured bacterium
Lineage: Bacteria
Description: partial 16S ribosomal RNA
Rfam family: Bacterial small subunit ribosomal RNA
Source: RNAcentral